Schistosoma mansoni is the source of this 45-nucleotide non-coding RNA. NCBI's taxonomy places the organism in Eukaryota, Metazoa, Platyhelminthes, Trematoda, Strigeidida, Schistosomatidae. The record is from Rfam.
AUCCUGCUGACGAGUGCAAAAUAGGACGAAACGCACGGCCUGUAU